AGAGGAAUCGUACAUAGAGAGGUAUAAAAAAAUGGAAUCGUACAUAAAAAGGUAUAAAAGAAGAGGAAUCGUACAUAGACAGGUAUAAAAGAAGAUGAACCGUACAUAGAGAGGUAUAAAAGAAGAGGAAUCGUACAUAGAGAGGUAUAAAAGAAGAGGAAUCGUACAUAGACAGGUAUAAAAGAAGAGGAAUCGUACAUAGAGAGGUAUAAAAGAAGAGGAAUCGUUCAUAAAAAGGUAUAAAAGAAGAGGAAUCGUACAUAAAAAGGUAUAAAAGAAGAGGAAUCGUGCAUAGACAGGAAUAAAACUAAGAGGAAUCGUAC
Molecule: long non-coding RNA, 323 nt
Organism: Nematostella vectensis (starlet sea anemone)
Lineage: Eukaryota; Metazoa; Cnidaria; Anthozoa; Actiniaria; Edwardsiidae
Exons: 2
Source: RefSeq, a predicted model, not a curated record